GAUGAACGCUGGCGGCGUGCCUAAUGCAUGCAAGUCGAGCGAACAGACGAGGAGCUUACUCCUCUGACGUUAGCGGCGGACGGGUGAGUAACACGUGGAUAACCUACCUAUAAGACUGGGAUAACUUCGGGAAACCGGAGCUAAUACCGGAUAACAUGUUGAACCGCAUGGUUCAACAGUGAAAGACGGUCUUGCUGUCACUUAUAGAUGGAUCCGCGUCGCAUUAGCUAGUUGGUAAGGUAACGGCUUACCAAGGCGACGAUGCGUAUCCGACCUGAGAGGGUGAUCGGCCACACUGGAACUGAGACACGGUCCAGACUCCUACGGGAGGCAGCAGUAGGGAAUCUUCCGCAAUGGGCGAAAGCCUGACGGACCAACGCCGCGUGAGUGAAGAAGGUCUUCGGAUCGUGAAACUCUGUUAUUGGGGAAGAACAAAUGUGUAAGUAACUAUGCACGUCUUGACGGUACCUAAUCAGAAAGCCACGGCUAACUACGUGCCACCAGCCGCGGUAAUACGUAGGUGGCAAGCGUUAUCCGGAAUUAUUGGGCGUAAAGCGCGCGUAGGCGGUUUUUUAGUCUGAUGUGAAAGCCCACGGCUCAACCGUGGAGGGUCAUUGGAAACUGGAAAACUUGAGUGCAGAAGAGGAAAGUGGAAUUCCAUGUGUAGCGGUGAAAUGCGCAGAGAUAUGGAGGAACACCAGUGGCGAAGGCGACUUUCUGGUCUGUAACUGACGCUGAUGUGCGAAAGCGUGGGGAUCAAACAGGAUUAGAUACCCUGGUAGUCCACGCCGUAAACGAUGAGUGCUAAGUGUUAGGGGGUUUCCGCCCCUUAGUGCUGCAGCUAACGCAUUAAGCACUCCGCCUGGGGAGUACGACCGCAAGGUUGAAACUCAAAGGAAUUGACGGGGACCCGCACAAGCGGUGGAGCAUGUGGUUUAAUUCGAAGCAACGCGAAGAACCUUACCAAAUCUUGACAUCCUCUGACCCCUCUAGAGAUAGAGUUUUCCCCUUCGGGGGACAGAGUGACAGGUGGUGCAUGGUUGUCGUCAGCUCGUGUCGUGAGAUGUUGGGUUAAGUCCCGCAACGAGCGCAACCCUUAAGCUUAGUUGCCAUCAUUAAGUUGGGCACUCUAAGUUGACUGCCGGUGACAAACCGGAGGAAGGUGGGGAUGACGUCAAAUCAUCAUGCCCCUUAUGAUUUGGGCUACACACGUGCUACAAUGGACAAUACAAAGGGUAGCGAAACCGCGAGGUCAAGCAAAUCCCAUAAAGUUGUUCUCAGUUCGGAUUGUAGUCUGCAACUCGACUACAUGAAGCUGGAAUCGCUAGUAAUCGUAGAUCAGCAUGCUACGGUGAAUACGUUCCCGGGUCU
Molecule: ribosomal RNA, 1371 nt
Filed under: uncultured bacterium
Lineage: Bacteria
Description: bacterial SSU rRNA
Rfam family: Bacterial small subunit ribosomal RNA
Source: RNAcentral